Molecule: long non-coding RNA, 2814 nt
Organism: Papaver somniferum (opium poppy)
Lineage: Eukaryota; Viridiplantae; Streptophyta; Magnoliopsida; Ranunculales; Papaveraceae
Exons: 12
Source: RefSeq, a predicted model, not a curated record
UCUGGUCCUGAAAGCAAACUCGUCCAACUCUUUCUCUCUCACUUGUCUCUUCUCUAACUUCUCGAACUCAACUCUUCUCCGCUCGAAAAAACCAGAGAAAAAAAUGAGUGAAAUUGGGUUAGACAAUUCAAGAGAAACCUAAAUCAAACCGAAAUGAGAAGUUAAACCAAAAUCUUCUACUGAUUUAUGAUUUUCUAAGCCUAAAAACUCAUAUGAAAAACCUUUUUACGAAUCAAAAUCUUUGAUUUUGUAAACUGAUUUUUGCUCUUAGAUUGAAACUAUCAGAAGCAGAUUCAACUGCAGAAGUAGAAACCCUAGGAAUCUCUAUCCUCAGAAGAAGAUUAUCAGAAGCAGAUUCAAUUGAAGAAGUAGAAACCCUAGGAAUCUCUAUCCUCAGAAGAAGAUUGAAGUAAAAUCCUUAAAGAUUCAGUAGAAUGUCCUCCAAUCGAAGCAGUUCUGGUCAGUCUACAUCAGCUAUCACAUCAUUGCAGCAAAAUGUAUCCAGCUCGUCAGCAAAACCGAAGCUGGUUGUUGAAGUCAAUAUUGCUGGCAAGAUCGAAGGAGAUGCGCAGCGGGAUUCUAUACUAGGGUAGGAGAGCUCAAAAGGACUCAUAUUCCUAUAUCAUACAAGGAGUGGAGGUUGGUCCCUGUCAAUUUUAAAGACGAUGUGUGGAAUACUUUGAUGGGUGAAUUUUCAUUGACUGUUGACCCAACAGUCUGUCGUGAAAUCAUUGAAGUGUCAUUUCCACCGUAUUAUAGGCGAUUCAAAUACGAGUUAAGGCAGGAACUAAAACAGAUAGUAAAAUCUCUUAGACAAGCAGAAAAAUCAUCUCUUAGAGUAGAACAAGCAAUAAGGGAGGGAGUUGAAAUACCUGAGGUUGAGGAGGAAGAUGAAGAUGAAGCACUUCCAGAACUCACUCCAGAAAUCUGGGAAAGUGUAAGAGCAGAUGUUCCACCUGGGAUUAAUGGGAUUAAUCCAAAUAUCUGGGAGGAAUUUGUGGAUAUGGAGAAAAAUCCUGAAAAGAUAGCAAAGAAUAAGAUGAAUGCAGAGAGCAAAGCAAAGAACAUUAUCUACCAUACACUUGGGAGGUGCACAUACCACAACAAGAAGCAUAAGUUAGUAAGUAUUCAUGUUCCUGAUCUUCUUUUUGGUCUUCAGAUACUAGUAACAACCUAUUAACCAACCAUUUAUGUUUGUAUUUGUAUGACGAAAUGAGCGAAAAAGUGGUACCACCGUCGACUACAGAGAAGUGGUUAUACGGACAUUUAAAACGUGAUGGGACUGUCCAUCCUAGUGCACUUGAAGUGCAUGGUAAAGUAUCAGGGGAUCUAGAGGAACAACGUUAAAGGAGAUCAGUCAAGUUCUAGUAAUGUGGUUUCAGCUGAACUAGAGGAGGUGUUUGGAAGAAAACGAAGUGGUGGGAUUCGUGGCUACUCAUCCCAUAUGUCGAAGAAGCAAAUUGGAAUGGCAGAAAUUGCACAUUAUGCCCUUCAACAAAGAGAUAAUGAGAAUGCACUUAAACUAAACAAAAUCGAAGCCGAUGUGGGGUUUAUGGGCGGUAAACUGAUUGGUAUUGAAGGUGAAUUGGGGUCCUUGGGCAGCACAGUGAAUGAGAUGUUGAACUGCAUGAAACGCAAGAUGCCUACAUCAUCAUCUCGCGCAGGCAUUCCCAGCCCUGAGAAAGGGUCCACUUAGGUCAUCAACUUGAUCAAAGCUUGGAUCAUGCUGACGGUGUAACCAAUGAACCUCCUUCCUUGCAUGUUCAACUACUAGAUAAUAGAAGAAGAGUUGUUGCAUCAGGAUGUAUUGUUGCUGGAGAUUAUGUUCAUUGUAGAAAGGUGAAGCCAACAGAGAAGAGGGUCUAUGUCGAGGAAGUUCAUGAUCAGUCUGCGUUAGUAUGGGGUGGUCCACAAGGAGAUUACGUUAAAUUUUUGAAGGAUCUGGAACUACCUACUUUUCUAAUCUGGUCUGAGGAUAGGUUACGGUUCGUGUCGGUCAAGCUGGUUGGUGGAAAUGAAGGAGAGCUGCCCAUACAUGGUACUUUUCAGUUCCAAUUCUAUCUUAUACAAGUGUACAACCAGGACAUAAUGAUCUCCCACAAUUGAGGCCAAAGAAAAAGAACAAUUAAAUGCAGUGCAGAGCCGGAGAAUUUGUUUUCUAGCAUCUUAAUUGGUACUUUUACUUCCAAAAAUUGUCUGUUUUACUCAAGAACAUCUUAUUUGAAAUUUGUGUCACAGGUCUGAUUUUGGAAUCUGUUACUGGUCUUUCAAGCCAGGUGUAAAAGUUAAGCCUUUGAAGCAACCCCAGGCACAUCAGAAAGUAUAUGAUGAGACUGACUUGGCAAAUCUUCAGAAGACGAAAAGGAAAGCUUUAUGUUAGGUGGUGUUGGACUAAAGAAAAGUGGAAAGAUCGGAACAAGAUGCUCCAGUAAAGGUGCCACUAUAAGGAAAUCAAGAAGACAGUUGGAUAAGCAUAAUAUGAUUUGAGUGAACAAGUUGUAGGUAAUUUCUUAUUUCUCAAGUUCUUGUAGAAAUGUAUCCACUGCCUAUGCGCGCAUGAUGAGUUCCGGUGACAAUGAUUGAACAAGAAACCCAAAACAUCCUCAAUUUUGAUCCCAAAUUGUAGAGAUAGACUUGUUAUCUAUAGUUUAUUUUGUUAAAUUUCAGUCAUCUUACACCUGUAAUUGUAACGAUUGAUUGUAUGGAUGGCUCCAUAUGUAAUGCUGCAAUUCCAUAUGUGAUAUAAUAGAAUGGAUUGAAUAAUGGUUUCAUAUAUGAUUUGGAAUGGAGUGGCUAGAUACCUGUAUUCUGGUG